AGGAUCCGUUCUUGACGCACUUUGUUUGCAUGGAAACUGGUACAAUAGCACACUACACCGGAAUAUACAACGGCUCCAACGAAAUUACAAUCAUGGCUACGGGGGCAGUAAAAGACUUGGGAAGGCCUAAAAAUGCAGGUGUGACCAUCAGGAUCGCAAUAAGGAAGACACUCGAUACCUAUACCUUUUUUCCCGACUACGGUACAGAGCCUGUCGUUGCAGCCUUCUACAAUCUCUUGCCGUCUGGCCAUGAUUACGUACCUCGAUUCUCGAACAACUUCAACAUAAGACAUGUUUAUAUGGAGGUAUAUUACUAAACGUGUUCUCCACGCAAAAAACUUAAUGGCAAAGCGACUAUUACUAUACAGAUCCUACUAGCACCAAGUCAAAUGCGUAUCGGCACACGAACA
This is a long non-coding RNA of Dermacentor silvarum, 410 nucleotides long. RefSeq lists it as uncharacterized. NCBI's taxonomy places the organism in Eukaryota, Metazoa, Arthropoda, Arachnida, Ixodida, Ixodidae. The record is from RefSeq and is a predicted model, not a curated record. The transcript has 3 exons.